This 2206-nucleotide long non-coding RNA is filed under the name Sus scrofa (pig). Its description in RNAcentral is "lncRNA (ENSSSCG00040051822.1)". Lineage: Eukaryota; Metazoa; Chordata; Mammalia; Artiodactyla; Suidae. The record is from RNAcentral.
GCUGGGCAAACCAGGUGAGCACCUUCUGUCUCCUGACGGAACCCCACCUGAGCGAGGCUGACUCCUGCCGAGGUGCUGUACACAUUACAAAAACGCCUUUGUAAACCACAAAACGCUCUCGGAAGUGGAAAAAUCAUCUCGAUCCUGAUGUGAAAACCACAAUUUCCUUCAUUUGUGGAUCCUGCCAGAUUAAAAAGCAUUCAGGGAAGAAGUGCGGCUGGGAGAAUUGAACGCUGUCCGAAGAGGCAAGUUCUCUGAGUCCAGAAUCCUGCCGCGGAGGCCGGCUGGCUCCGUCCAAUUGCAUAAGUCACUUAACCUCCUGAUGACUCUUUUCCCAUCAUCAGGCUGGAAUUAAGGAGUUGGCCUUCCCUCUGGGGCCAGAGAUCUGGACUUCCUAACUGCCAGUUGGAUAACAUGCUUUGCCAUUGCAAUUUGCGCUAAAGAGUCUCAAGGUUGUUGUGAAAACAAGCGAUAAAAGUCAGUUAACAAGCCGGCUGCCACCAGAACAGCCAAUGAGAACACCUAAAGCCACCUAAAGUGCAUCUCCAGGCUUGGGGUUCUGGAAACAGAUUCGGAGACUAGUCAGGCCUUUAUUAUUCUAUUUUAUUUUAUUUUUAUUACUUUUAAGAUUGUGAGGUGGAGUCCCUGGAUAAUUGAUGAAUAAUAUUGUGUUCUCAUAAAGUCAAAAGAAAUCCCCUCAGUUGAGAAACAGUCUACAGGUGUGUGUAGGACCCUUUACAAGGAUCUUAGAGAUAAUCUGGCCUAGCACUUCCGUUUUUGCAGAGCAGGAGUUUGGUCAAAGCAGAAAGUUUAAAUGACCUACUUAUGCUUGUGGAACCAUAGAUCUAGUAGUUGCUGCAGGAGUUUGAAAUCUAACUUUAAUGGUGGUUUAAUUAAUCCAGUCAUUUUAAAAGGAAGGAAUCCUUGAGGAAGGCUGACAACACUACACACAUUUUUGCCUAAGAGUCAAUUUGAUAGUAGACAAGACAGACCCGGAGAAUGUUGGGUAAUGUCUUUAAUUAUUAUUAUUUUUAAAAUUACUUAAUGAAUUUUAUUACAUUUAUAUGUGUACAACAAUCAUCACAACCAAAUUUUAUAGCAUUUCCAUCCCAACCCCUCAGUGCAUCCCCCCACGUAAUGUCUUUAAUUAUAAAAGAAGUCUUCUGAACCUAAACGGGAAUCUUUUUAGAAAAAUGGCAGAAGCAUAGCCAUUGAAGGCAAUGUUGAAAAUGCAAUAUUUUAAUUUUUUCUAUGAAUUCUUUUUUAUUUUUUAUUAAAGUAUAGUUGAUUUAUAAUGUUGAGCCAAUUUCUGCUGUACAGCAAAGUGACCCAGGCAUAUGUAUGUAUGGCAUCUUUUUCUCAUAGUAUCUUCCAUCAUGGUCUAUCCCAAGAAACUGGAUAUAGUUGCCUGUGCUGUACAGUAGGACCUCAUGAAAAUGCUCUAUUUUUAAAGUUGAGUUUAAAACCUUAAAACUUUCCUCCCUCCCUCUCUCCUUUUCUUUCUUCCUUCUAUCAUCCUUCUCUCUGUGUCUCUAUCUCUCUCAUCUUUGCAAUUUUUUUUUUAUUUGAAGAGAAGUCUUGGAGGAAAACUAGGUAAAUCUAGGCUUUGGUGACUUGGGGUUGAAAGAAACAUCCAGAAAGUGGAGGCAGGCUGAUUUACAUAGUAGAGAGGAAAAAGCUCCUGGUGAUUUACUCUGACUUGCUAAUUUUCAGAAGGAAAUUAAUAAAAUUGAUUCCAGCAAAAACUCUAAGUGGACAAAUAGAAGAAAAACAAAUCGAGAAUUGUGAAUAUUUAGGGCAUAGAGAAAGUUCUUAGAGAAAUCUUUCCCUUAGGGAGAAAUAAAUAUUUAGGAGAAAUCACUAACUUUAAGGGUCGUUAAAGCAAAGAUCACUCAUAGGAUGGAAGCAAGCCCUCCCACCAACUGUUAAUUCCAAUUCCUAGACUUGGUGGCAGUAACAUGAUUAGUUAUUGUGGGUUCUGGAAGAAAGCAGGACCUUUGGCAAUAAAGCUCUGGAAAUAUGUAUUUUUAAGUACUAUAAAAGAUGUGGAAAGCAACUUUUCUUUUCAUCCUGGGGACUAGAAAUAAUACACCUGCAAGGACAGAUGAAUGGCAUAAUGUUGGCACUCAAUGGGGCAUUAAACAUUUUGCGCCACGUUUAUGGGGUUUUCCUGUCAUUAAUUCUAGGUAAAAUAAACUUUUAAAAA